UCGUGUUCUGUGGCUGACUGGGCUGGCGCUGGACUGGCGGGCGCCCGCCGGUCUGUCACAGAACACGAGA
Molecule: non-coding RNA, 70 nt
Organism: Acyrthosiphon pisum (pea aphid)
Lineage: Eukaryota; Metazoa; Arthropoda; Insecta; Hemiptera; Aphididae
Source: Rfam